This is a small nuclear RNA of Mastomys coucha (southern multimammate mouse), 107 nucleotides long. Lineage: Eukaryota; Metazoa; Chordata; Mammalia; Rodentia; Muridae. The record is from RefSeq and is a predicted model, not a curated record.
GUGCUCGCUUCAGCAGCGCGUAUACUAAAACUGGAACGACACAGAGAAGAUUAGCAUGGUCCCUGUGCAAGGAUGACACGGAAAUUUGAGAAACACUAAACUAGCUC